This 76-nucleotide transfer RNA is filed under the name Pseudomonas phage sp. 30-2. Its description in RNAcentral is "tRNA-Asn". It matches the Rfam family "tRNA". From Rfam's summary of the family: Transfer RNA (tRNA) molecules are approximately 80 nucleotides in length. The record is from RNAcentral. Lineage: Duplodnaviria; Heunggongvirae; Uroviricota; Caudoviricetes; Arenbergviridae.
UGGCUAGUAGCUCAGUCGGUAGAGCAAAUGACUGUUAAUCAUUGGGUCGUAGGUUCGAGUCCUACCUAGCCAGCCA